RNAcentral lists this ribosomal RNA (493 nucleotides) under uncultured bacterium. RNAcentral's name for it is "bacterial SSU rRNA". It matches the Rfam family "Bacterial small subunit ribosomal RNA", at positions 8 to 518 of the family's 1533-position model. The record is from RNAcentral.
AGAGUUGAUCCUGGCUUAGGACGAACGCUGGCGGCGUGCUUAACACAUGCAAGUCGAGCGAUGAAGUCCCUCGGGGACGGAUUAGCGGCGGACGGGUGAGUAACACGUGGGUAACCUGCCUCAUAGAGGGGAAUAGCCUUCCGAAAGGAAGAUUAAUACCGCAUAAGAUUGUAGUUUCGCAUGAAACAGCAAUUAAAGGAGUAAUCCGCUAUGAGAUGGACCCGCGUCGCAUUAGCUAGUUGGUGAGGUAACGGCUCACCAAGGCGACGAUGCGUAGCCGACCUGAGAGGGUGAUCGGCCACAUUGGGACUGAGACACGGCCCAGACUCCUACGGGAGGCAGCAGUGGGGAAUAUUGCACAAUGGGGGAAACCCUGAUGCAGCAAACCGCCGCGUGAGUGAUGACGGUCUUCGGAUUGUAAAGCUCUGUCUUCAGGGACGAUAAUGACGGUACCUGAGGAGGAAGCCACGGCUAACUACGUGCCAGCAGCGGC